GGGCCCGCACAAGCGGUGGAGCAUGUGGUUUAAUUCGACGCAACGCGAAGAACCUUACCUGGCCUUGACAUCCAGAGAACUUUCCAGAGAUGGAUUGGUGCCUUCGGGAACUCUGAGACAGGUGCUGCAUGGCCGUCGUCAGCUCGUGUCGUGAGAUGUUGGGUUAAGUCCCGUAACGAGCGCAACCCCUAUCCUUGGUUGCUAGCAGGUAAUGCUGAGAACUCCAGGGAGACUGCCGGUGACAAACCGGAGGAAGGUGGGGAUGACGUCAGGUCAUCAUGGCCCUUACGGCCAGGGCUACACACGUGCUACAAUGGCGCGUACAGAGGGCUGCCAACUCGCGAGAGUGAGCCAAUCCCUUAAAACGCGUCGUAGUCCGGAUCGGAGUCUGCAACUCGACUCCGUGAAGUCGGAAUCGCUAGUAAUCGCGAAUCAGAAUGUCGCGGUGAAUACGUUCCCGGGCCUU
RNAcentral lists this ribosomal RNA (466 nucleotides) under uncultured bacterium. Its description in RNAcentral is "bacterial SSU rRNA". It matches the Rfam family "Bacterial small subunit ribosomal RNA", at positions 917 to 1382 of the family's 1533-position model. The record is from RNAcentral.